CUACCGCGCCCUCCAUCGAGUGCCAGAGGACUGCCCCCGUCUUCGGAAUGUGGACUGGGCCCGCCCCUGUUGCCUUUAAUGGUCGAGGUUAUAUAUGUGUUUCCGCAGAUCGUGGUCCAGUGAGGGUACCCAGCAAGAACGCGAAVCCUGUCUUGACUCACCAUGACUCGUCCAACGGGCAAGAGGAUGGGAAACCUGAUUCUGGGAGUACUGCUCCCAGUGGUAAUGGCACUUCACAGGAUUGAUCCCAGGCCAAAUAUGUGGGUAACCUGGGCGAACGAGACGGGCCAGCAAGCAUUCUGCUUGUCACUGGCCUCAGCUACCCGACCCUUUAGAACGUGUUUAGUAGGGGUCCCAAGCUUUAGCACAGCGGCUUUCUCGGGCUUUGCUACCGGCAAUUGUAAACAGAGUAUUUCAACUGCUACCUGCAGUGCUACGCUCAUCAAUAGCUUAAACACAACUCUGCCCUGGAACCCACAAGAAUUAGAUCUGCUCGGGGCAAUGCGUAUCGGAAACUYGUCMAARAACUGGACACAAACGUGUCUGGUCUUUGGGGGAGGCCCAGGCUUUGGGGGAAGUAGAGAGAGGCUUACAUCACGCAAUUGGACUAAUAUCAGCCCUAUGGACGAGCAUUAUCGCAACUUAAGCGCCUUUUGCGGCAUCGAUGGACCCACCAAAAAACCCCUAGGAGCUUAUGGGUCCGRGAACAGACCCUUCCAGGGCCCAUACAAUAUAGGGCCUCCCAGGGCAUUGCCACCUGGAGUAUUUCUUAUAUGUGGGGACCGAGCUUGGCAGGGCAUUCCUGGGAACGCGUAUGGGGGACCGUGCUAUCUGGGAAAAUUGACACUAUUGGCCCCGGAUACCAAUUGGUGGAAGAAUGUCACAAGUGGGAAGAUUGCUACCCGCYGCAAGAGAGCUGUUACUGGCUUAUCCCCCGACUGUGAUGACAGGGUGUCCCUGUUAAGUCCCACAGAGCGAGUGUUUCUGUCCCUUUUUGUACCCGGGGCAGCCGCCGGCGACGCCCUGAACCAGAUCGGGCGUUUAGCCUGCUGGGCGGAAAAACAAGCCAACGUCACCACRCARGUGAUUGAAAGCCUGCUAGAAGACCAAAAGGGCCUAAGGCAUGCCAUACUGCAAGACCGGGCUGCAAUUGACUUUCUAUUGCUAGCCCAAGGCCAUGGUUGUGAGGAUUUUGAAGGUAUGUGCUGUAUGAACUUGUCUGAUCAUAGUGAAUCCAUUCACAAACAAUUGCGGUGGUUGAAGGAGCACACAGGCAAAAUCCGUCAGAACCAUGGGUUUUUAGACGAAUGGCUMACUAACCUGUUUGGCAAUCUACCACAGUGGCUAAYAGGACUGCUCGCUGAAGGCUUGCGCAUUUUGCUAAUCCUCAUAAUUAUAGGCUUAUGCUUGUGUGUAVUACUGAGCUGCGUUAAGAAAGCCUUGCUGAAAGUAGCGGGCCRMGUCUGGAUUGCUCGAAAACAAGAAGGAGAACUUCUGGAGGAAUGGCUGGGCUUUGGGGGGGAAUAUAGUCUGUUGGAGAUGAGCAAGCCCGCCUAUGCCCUUAAGGGUUUCCCUAAACGACGAAGACACGGACAUCGCCUGCGUUAAGAAUCGGGAAAAGGGGAAGCAGCACACAGCUCUGCUCACGAGCUAAUAAUGCAAAUAACCACCCGACGGCGGUCCCGUCGAGACACACCGCA
RNAcentral lists this long non-coding RNA (1700 nucleotides) under Apteryx owenii (little spotted kiwi). Its description in RNAcentral is "lncRNA (ENSAOWG00000019300.1)". The record is from RNAcentral. Lineage: Eukaryota; Metazoa; Chordata; Aves; Apterygiformes; Apterygidae.